Molecule: transfer RNA, 77 nt
Filed under: bacterium
Lineage: Bacteria
Also listed under: 3 other names
Description: tRNA-Pro
Rfam family: tRNA
About the family: Transfer RNA (tRNA) molecules are approximately 80 nucleotides in length. Their secondary structure includes four short double-helical elements and three loops (D, anti-codon, and T loops).
Source: RNAcentral
CUGGGUAUGGCGCAGCUUGGUAGCGCGCUUGAAUGGGGUUCAAGAGGCCGGAGGUUCAAAUCCUCUUACCCAGACCA